Molecule: non-coding RNA, 556 nt
Organism: Triticum urartu
Lineage: Eukaryota; Viridiplantae; Streptophyta; Magnoliopsida; Poales; Poaceae
Source: RefSeq, a predicted model, not a curated record
AUAGAUGGCUAGGCGGUGCGCUGUUCGGAUCAUCCCCGCGCGGCGGACCCGAUCCAAGCGAGAAGCAGCAAUCCGAUAUCUUGGUGUCGCUCCUGCCGUCAAUGUUCCGGCCGGCCGGCAGUACUGCAGGUCGUACAUCGCGGCGCACCGAAGCCUCGGCUGCCCCACCGCCCUCAACCCGCCGCCAUGGACAGAGGAUCUCUCUCCACCGUACGUCGGAUACCCUACUGCCUGAGUCAGCGCCGCCGGCGACCUUCCCUCCCACUACAGGUUGAAGAGCUAUUGUUUCAGUUCGUCCAUGACACUUAUGGGGUUGUGGGGGAUGUUGCACUCAGAGAACUUGUUCUUGCAGUAGUAGGAUGAACUGGAUCAGAUAUUGGAAGUGGUACUGUCACAUAUCCUGGCAUCUGCUCAGCCUGCAGCAUGGCACAUGAGUCUUUGACAUCAUUGAGGAUUUCUUCAUCGGCAAAUUGGAAGACUGAUGUGGAAUAGGAGAGGAUGUAAAAGCUCCCAAAGUGUGAACCCAUGUGCUCGUCUGCAAUUCCUUGAAGAUGAU